ACAGCAGCAGCCGCGGUAAAACGAAGGGGGCUAGCGUUACUCGGAAUUACUGGGCGUAAAGGGCGCGUAGGCGGCACGAUUAGUCAGGCGUGAAAUUCCUGGGCUCAACCUGGGGACUGCGCUUGAUACGGUCGAGCUAGAGGAUGGAAGAGGGUCGUGGAAUUCCCAGUGUAGAGGUGAAAUUCGUAGAUAUUGGGAAGAACACCGGUGGCGAAGGCGGCGACCUGGUCCAUUACUGACGCUGAGGCGCGACAGCGUGGGGAGCAAACAGGAUUAGAUACCCGGGUAGUCCCUGUCUCUUAUAC
RNAcentral lists this ribosomal RNA (305 nucleotides) under uncultured bacterium. Its description in RNAcentral is "partial 16S ribosomal RNA". It matches the Rfam family "Bacterial small subunit ribosomal RNA", at positions 505 to 807 of the family's 1533-position model. The record is from RNAcentral.